RNAcentral lists this ribosomal RNA (342 nucleotides) under Triticum aestivum (bread wheat). RNAcentral's name for it is "partial small subunit ribosomal RNA". The record is from RNAcentral. Lineage: Eukaryota; Viridiplantae; Streptophyta; Magnoliopsida; Poales; Poaceae.
AUGUUGAUGCAAGACUACUUCGCGGACAAUCCAACCUAUCCACCGCAUCUCUUCCGGAGAAGGUACCAAAUGCGUUGAUCACUCGUCGUAAAAAUUGUGCAAGCUUGCGAGCCCAAUUGUCAGUUUUUUACUCAACGGAGAAACGCCGCGGGCUUGUUGGGUUUUAGCGCCUACCAAAAAAUCUCCGCAGUUAGGCGUGUGAUUACAUACGGUAUCCCGACUGACUAUGCCAAUGAGUAUCUUCGCAUUGGCGGAGAUACUACAAUUGAGUUAGUGCGUAGGUUUUCCAAAGUGAUGAUCCGCGUCUUUGGUCAUGUGUAUCUUUGUCCACCCACCAAGUAA